AUAUAUUCAACCCAAUGGAGAAAAUUAAUGGAGAUUUGGAUUGAUACAAACCAUUUGAGUAAAGAAUCAACCUUUGCUGAUGCAUUCAACCCUAAGAGUUCUGCAACUCAUGAGAAGGGGUGAUGAAUGAACAAUUGAGCGUUUGAGAUGUCGAGACGUGAAUGGUUCGACGGCGGAAAAAAAGGCUCAUCAGAUCAAAUCGGAAACGACACAGUUGAUGGAUUGGUGAGAAGUGGGUGGAAACGCAGCUGGAUUCAGAUUGAU
This 264-nucleotide long non-coding RNA is filed under the name Lotus japonicus. Its description in RNAcentral is "long non-coding RNA (LJAP_LNC001449)". Lineage: Eukaryota; Viridiplantae; Streptophyta; Magnoliopsida; Fabales; Fabaceae. The record is from RNAcentral.